Long non-coding RNA from Ictalurus punctatus (channel catfish), 2023 nucleotides. NCBI's taxonomy places the organism in Eukaryota, Metazoa, Chordata, Actinopteri, Siluriformes, Ictaluridae. The record is from Ensembl.
GGGAUCUGUGCUUUAGAAAAUGUCGAUCAGAAUUUUUUAUUUUUAUUUUAAAACAUCCAGAAAUCUGCACAACGUGCAAAUAGUGUUUCUAAAAACUACAGUUUAUUGAAUGUUCUAAAGAAGACGUAAUCAAAAGACUCCAUCUGGCUGGUGGCUUAUUGAAAGUCAUUAUCCGAGAUAAUAUCCAAGGUUACUGCUUAAAAUAUGAAUGAGGCGGCAUGUAACGCUCAACGUGGCGGCUGUAUGGAUCACGUUAAGUCCGUCCCACGGUGAAAGAUUCAGUUGCUUAUUUUAAUGUAAUAUUAACUUAGGUUAAUGAACAGAUAUAAAGCAGUUUGCUCUGUUAAGCACUCACACAUCAUACAAUGCUUCUUUGGUGUAAAUUUCUAUCAGUGGUCAUAGAAUGUGUAAAGCAGUGGUUCUUAAGGUUUUUGCAAGUGCGACUCACCCAUUUCAAAUCCAUAGCUGCAUCCAACUAUCUCUACUACCCUACUAAAGUAGUACACCAAAGGAACCAAUGGACACUGCGCUAUCCCAUAAGGCAGGGAGUGGCGCGGAAGAGCUGUCAGAAUCCGAAAUGUCGGAAGGCAGCGCGUCAGCUCUUUUUAACUGUAAGUGCUAUAGGUAUAUAAAUUUUGUUCCUUGUGGUUAAACCGUACUUGUUUAACAACACCUAAGUAAAUUGUUGAAGAUUUGAACAAGGAAAAAGCAGGUGCUCUAAUCUAAUCUUGCAGGCUCUUUUAAAUGUGUGCAGAUAUUAUGAUGUCAUAGGUCACAUGACAAUGCCAACAUGGCGGAUGUCCGUACGUCCGGAUUGUAUUCAUGCUACACAUACGUAUACUGAUCAUUACGUGCUGUCUCAACGGCCAAGCAGUAGUAGGAACAGUAUUUCAAAUGCUAAAGUGCAUUAUUACGUAAUCAAUAUCUUUUUCAUACAUAACUCGGUCAGUGGGAGGCCACAUUAAGAUUUCCAGAUUGAAAUUCAGAUCGAAAAGGUUCUCAGCCCAGAGACCUAAAGAUGGGUCCUUGAUGGGUCCAAGGCUCUGAACCAAGUGCUUAGCUUUAUGCUUGGACAGAUGGUCUGACAUUUUCUUUUAGAGCUCACUGGUAUAAUUCAGAAUUUAUUGUUCCAUCAAUGAUGGCAAGCUGUCGAGGCCCAAAUGCAGCAAAAUGCAGUCCAAACAAGAUACUACCACCAGCAUGUUUCACAGAUGGGAUAAGGUUCUUAUAGUGGAAUCUAGUGUUUUUCUUUCUCCAAACAUAACGCUUCUCAUUUAAACUAAACAGUUGUAUUUUGGUCUCAUACACCCACUAAACGUUUUUCCAUUAGCCUUCUGGCUUGCCCACAUGAUUUUUAGCAAACUGCAGAUAGGCAACAAUGUUCUUUUCGGAGAGUGGUGGCUUCCUCCUUGCAACACUGCCAUGCACAACAUUGUUUUUCAGAGUUCUCCUGAUGGUGGACUCAUGACCAUUAACCAAUGUGAGAGGCCUUUAGUUGCUUAGACGUUGCCCUGGGCUCCUUUGUGAAUUCAUGGAGUAUUGCACAUCUUGCUCUUGGAGGGAUCUUAGUAGGUUGAGCACUCCUGUAGAGGGUAACAGUGGUGUUGAAUUUCCUCCAUUUGUACACACUGACUGUGGAUUGGUGGAGUCCAAACUCUUUAGAGAUGGUUUUGUAAGCUUUUUCAGCUUCAACAACUCUUUUUCUGAGAUCCUCAGAAAUCUUCUUUGUUCGUGCCCUGAUACACUUCCACAAACAUGAUCAGACUCUGAUAGAUCCCUGUUCUUUAAAUAAAACGGGGCUCUCACUCACACCUAUUUGUCAUCACAUUGAUUGAAAACACCGUACUCUAGUUUCACCUUCAAAAUGAACUGCUAAUCCAAGAGGUUCACAUACUUUUGCCACUCACAGAUAUGUAAUAUUGGAUCCUUUCCCUCAAUAAAUAAAUAAGCAAGUAUAACAAUUUUCUCAUUUGUUCAAUUGGGUUCUCUUUGUAUACUUUUUUGCACUUGUGUGAAAAUCUGA